ACUGUGGAGUAUACAAGAACUUGCGAGUAGUAUAUUUAAUUUUAUUAAAUUACAAAAGCAUAUAUGAUGAAACAGUAA
Molecule: non-coding RNA, 78 nt
Submitted as: unclassified sequences
Source: Rfam